UAGGGAAUCUUCGGCAAUGGACGAAAGUCUGACCGAGCAACGCCGCGUGAGUGAAGAAGGUUUUCGGAUCGUAAAACUCUGUUGUUAGAGAAGAACAAGGACGUUAGUAACUGAACGUCCCCUGACGGUAUCUAACCAGAAAGCCACGGCUAACUACGUGCCAGCAGCCGCGGUAAUACGUAGGUGGCAAGCGUUGUCCGGAUUUAUUGGGCGUAAAGCGAGCGCAGGCGGUUUCUUAAGUCUGAUGUGAAAGCCCCCGGCUCAACCGGGGAGGGUCAUUGGAAACUGGGAGACUUGAGUGCAGAAGAGGAGAGUGGAAUUCCAUGUGUAGCGGUGAAAGGCGUAGAUAUAUGGAGGAACACCAGUGGCGAAGGCGGCUCUCUGGUCUGUAACUGACGCGGAGGCUCGAAAGCGUGGGGAGCAAACAGG
RNAcentral lists this ribosomal RNA (429 nucleotides) under Gemmatimonadota bacterium. RNAcentral's name for it is "Gemmatimonadetes bacterium partial 16S ribosomal RNA". It matches the Rfam family "Bacterial small subunit ribosomal RNA", at positions 355 to 776 of the family's 1533-position model. The record is from RNAcentral. Lineage: Bacteria; Pseudomonadati; Gemmatimonadota.